GAUGAAGAACGUAGCGAAAUGCGAUAAGUAGUGUGAAUUGCAGAAUUCAGUGAAUCAUCGAAUCUUUGAACGCACAUUGCGCCCGCCAGUAUUCUGGCGGGCAUGCCUGUUCGAGCGUCAUUACAACCCUCAGGCCCCCGGGCCUGGCGUUGGGGAUCGGCAGAAGCCCCCUGUGGGCACACGCCGUCCCUCAAAUACAGUGGCGGUCCCGCCGCAGCUUCCAUUGCGUAGUAGCUAACACCUCGCAACUGGAGAGCGGCGCGGCCAUGCCGUAAAACACCCAACUUCUGAAUGUUGACCUCGAAUCAGGUAGGAAUACCCGCUGAACUUAAGCAUAUCAAUAAGCGGAGGA
This 352-nucleotide unclassified non-coding RNA is filed under the name soil metagenome. RNAcentral's name for it is "partial contains 5.8S ribosomal RNA, internal transcribed spacer 2, and large subunit ribosomal RNA". The stretch from base 1 to 120 matches the Rfam family "5.8S ribosomal RNA", at positions 35 to 154 of the family's 154-position model. The record is from RNAcentral.